Molecule: ribosomal RNA, 253 nt
Filed under: uncultured bacterium
Lineage: Bacteria
Description: partial 16S ribosomal RNA
Rfam family: Bacterial small subunit ribosomal RNA
Source: RNAcentral
UACGGGGGGAGCAAGCGUUGUUCGGAUUUAUUGGGCGUAAAGAGCGUGUAGGCGGCCAGGUAGGUCUGCUGUGAAAACUCGAGGCUCAACCUCGAGAUGUCGGCGGAAACCAUCUGGCUAGAGUCCGGAAGAGGAGAGUGGAAUUCCUGGUGUAGCGGUGAAAUGCGCAGAUAUCAGGAAGAACACCCGUGGCGAAGGCGGCUCUCUGGGACGGUACUGACGCUGAGACGCGAAAGCGUGGGGAGCGAACAGG